Molecule: ribosomal RNA, 433 nt
Filed under: uncultured bacterium
Lineage: Bacteria
Description: partial 16S ribosomal RNA
Rfam family: Bacterial small subunit ribosomal RNA
Source: RNAcentral
AUCGAACGCUGGCGGCAGGCUUAACACAUGCAAGUCGAGCGGACCUUUCGGGGUUUGCGGCGGACGGCUGGUGAAGGCGUGGGAAGUUGCCCUUCGGUUCGGAACCCGCCGGGGAGAAUAGGGCUGAUACCGGAGACGCCCUUACGGGGAAAGGUUUCCUGCCGGAAGAUCGGCCCGAGUCGGAUUGGCCGGUUGGUGGGGUAACGGCCUACUAAGGCGAGGGUCAGUAGCUGGGCUGAGAGGAUGGUCAGCCACACCGGGGCUGAGACACAGCCCAGACUCCUACGGGAUGGAGGAGUGGGGAAUACUGGACAAUGGGGGCAAGGCUGAUCCAGCCCUGCCGGGUGAGUGAUGAAGGCCUUAGGGUAGUAAUGCUCUUUUAUACGGGCCGAUAAUGACGGUACCGGAGGAAUAAGCCCCGGCUAACUACGUG